RNAcentral lists this ribosomal RNA (253 nucleotides) under uncultured bacterium. Its description in RNAcentral is "partial 16S ribosomal RNA". It matches the Rfam family "Bacterial small subunit ribosomal RNA", at positions 524 to 776 of the family's 1533-position model. The record is from RNAcentral.
UACGUAGGGGGCAAGCGUUACCCGGAAUUACUGGGCGUAAAGCGCACGCAGGCGGUUCGCCAAGUUUGGAGUGACAGUUGUCGGCUCAACCGACAAAGGACUUCAAAAACUGGUGAACUUGAGGACGAGAGAGGAACAUGGAACUCCAGGUGUAGUAGUGAAAUGCGUAGAUAUCUGGAAGAACACCAAUGGCGAAGGCAAUGUUCUGGCUCGUUUCUGACGCUCAGGUGCGAAAGCCAGGGGAGCGAACGGG